UGCCAGACUUUGAUUAUGGCUCAGGAUGAACGCUAGCUGCAGGCUUAACACAUGCAAGUCGAGGGGAAACGACAUCGAAAGCUUGCUUUUGAUGGGCGUCGACCGGCGCACGGGUGAGUAACGCGUAUCCAACCUGCCCACCACUUGGGGAUAACCUUGCGAAAGUAAGACUAAUACCCAAUGAUAUCUCUAGAAGACAUCUGAAAGAGAUUAAAGAUUUAUCGGUGAUGGAUGGGGAUGCGUCUGAUUAGCUUGUUGGCGGGGUAACGGCCCACCAAGGCGACGAUCAGUAGGGGUUCUGAGAGGAAGGUCCCCCACAUUGGAACUGAGACACGGUCCAAACUCCUACGGGAGGCAGCAGCGAGGAAUAUUGGUCAAUGGGCGAGAGCCUGAACCAGCCAAGUAGCGUGCAGGAUGACGGCCCUAUGGGUUGUAAACUGCUUUUAUAAGGGAAUAAAGUGAGUCUCGUGAGACUUUUUGCAUGUACCUUAUGAAUAAGGACCGGCUAAUUCCGUGCCAGCAGCCGCGGUAAUACGGAAGGUCCGGGCGUUAUCCGGAUUUAUUGGGUUUAAAGGGAGCGUAGGCCGGAGAUUAAGCGUGUUGUGAAAUGUAGACGCUCAACGUCUGCACUGCAGCGCGAACUGGUUUCCUUGAGUACGCACAAAGUGGGCGGAAUUCGUGGUGUAGCGGUGAAAUGCUUAGAUAUCACGAAGAACUCCGAUUGCGAAGGCAGCUCACUGGAGCGCAACUGACGCUGAAGCUCGAAAGUGCGGGUAUCGAACAGGAUUAGAUACCCUGGUAGUCCGCACGGUAAACGAUGGAUGCCCGCUGUUGGUCUGAAUAGGUCGGCGGCCAAGCGAAGGCAUUAAGCAUCCCACCUGGGGAGUACGCCGGCAACGGUGCAACUCAAAUGAAUUGACGGA
Molecule: ribosomal RNA, 923 nt
Filed under: uncultured bacterium
Lineage: Bacteria
Also listed under: 1 other name
Description: bacterial SSU rRNA
Rfam family: Bacterial small subunit ribosomal RNA
Source: RNAcentral